GGUCUUAUAGUAAAAUAGAUAACAUUGGGUUGCAAACCUGAAGAUGUGUAGAGAACACUAGGA
RNAcentral lists this transfer RNA (63 nucleotides) under Leptodius sanguineus. Its description in RNAcentral is "tRNA-Cys". Lineage: Eukaryota; Metazoa; Arthropoda; Malacostraca; Decapoda; Xanthidae. The record is from RNAcentral.